GCAGCAUCUCCAGACGAGGGCGCACUGGUGAGAGCCGCACGGAACCUCGGCUUCGUGUUUUCAGGUAGAACUCCUGACAGCGUCAUUGUGGAAAUGCUUGGAACGGAAGAAAAGUACGAACUGCUUCAUGUGCUGGAGUUCACAAGGUAAUUCUUUAAUUAU
Molecule: long non-coding RNA, 162 nt
Organism: Salarias fasciatus (jewelled blenny)
Lineage: Eukaryota; Metazoa; Chordata; Actinopteri; Blenniiformes; Blenniidae
Exons: 3
Source: RefSeq, a predicted model, not a curated record